AUAGAAAAAAAUUAAAAAUUAAAAUGAUUCUUUUUAUAAUAUUGAAGAGUAAAAUAAAUUAUUAUAUUUAAUAUAAAUAAGACGAUAGAUUCACAUGGAUUGAAGGACAUGGAAUUAAAUUUAAUUAAUUAUAUAAAGAAAUUAGUGGAAAAGCGAGCAUGAGAGGGUCUCACUCCAAAGUCCAAUCACAGUGUCAUGUGUAGUCUGCUCUGCUCUGCGUUGCAUUGGGGCUGCUCUAGUUUGACUACACCAAACCAAGUGCACAUUUGCAUCUGUGUUACGUACAUUAUUGUAAUAUAAAUAUAUAUAAAUGAAAAUGCUAUCUCCUUUUCUUUUAUUGGGUUCAUAUGAACGCAAUCACAUUCACUCUUUUGAAUAAUAAUAAUAAUGGCAUAGGUCAUGCAGUCAAAGAAUAGGGCAAAAUAACAUUAAAGGCCCAUUUUUUUUUAAAUUUAUCGAAAUGGGUUCGGUAUUUUAUUAUUUAUAGGAAUGGGCCCUUUUUCCCGAAAACGCGUCCCCGUCAGAGCGAUGUCAUGGGACGUGUCAGCAAAACGCGUCCCUGGGGGCGCGCUUUGCUUGCAUGGACACAAAGCGCGCUUACGAGGACGCGCUUUGCUGCCAUGUAGGCAAAGCGCGCCCCUGGGGACGCGUUUUCCCCGCGCGUAAACAGUGCAACGGUCAUUUUUUUUACCGUUGCCCCCCCAACGGUAAAAAAAACCCUAUAAAACCCCUUACCCUUUCAUUUUUUUUCACAAACUAAUCCCCUUUCAAUUAUUUUCUCAAUUUUCUCUCAAUUUGCUUUCAAGUUGCUCUCAAUUUCCUUCUAAAUUUCUCUCAAAUUCAUAUUUAAUUUUAUUUUGCUCUCAAUUUCAUCUUAAAUUUCUCUUAAAUCCCUAUUUUUAAUUAUUUUAAAAAAAAUUUUAAAUCGUAAAAAUUUGUAUGAAUUUAGCAAUGGCCGGAGAAUUGAUUCGUCUUGAUAACUAGCACAUAUCCAUCGAACAAAUGAAAAUGUCUGUAGAUCGGAUAUUAGAAUGCUAUAUCCGGAAUAUGCAUGGUCCUCCAUCACCGUUGGUAGAGAAUUACCUGCGGGAAGCAGGUUUUUGGCACGUGACGACGGUAGGCCGGGGAUGCAAGUUGGACCUGAAACUUAUCAGUGCGUUGAUCGAGAGGUGGAGACCCGACAUGCACACAUUCCAUCUUCCAUGUGGAGAGUGCACUAUCACUUUGGAAGAUGUAAAUCUGCAAUUGGGAUUGUCGGUGGACGGGUACCCAAUCACCGGGUCUGUUCAAUCUGGCGAUUGGGGAGCGGUGUGCUACGAGCUUUUGGGCGCUAUUCUGGAGAAAAUUAACGGAGGUCGGAUCGAGAUGGGUUGACUACGAGACACAUUCCCGGAGCCGGAUGAUGAUUCAACUGAAGUAGAAAUAAUUCGAUAUGCUCGGGCAUACAUUCUUCAGAUAAUUAGAGGUUGUCUGAUGCCGGACUUGUCACGGAACCUCGUACAUCUAAGAUGGCUGCUGAAACUCGUUAAUUUUAAAGUAACUAGUGAAUUGAGUUGGGGGUCUACCGUCUUGACAACAUUAUAUCGGCAAAUGUGCAGGGCGACGCGACCAAGUAAAGCGAAAAUCGGAGGUUGCCUAUCACUACUGCAGUCAUAGGCACGGUUUCGCUUUCCAUUUCUACGUCCUCGAGUGGACCACUCAUAUACAUUCCCAUUAAUAAGGAGGUAAAUUUUAUAUUAGAUUUUUUACAAUUAUUAUGUAGAUUUUUAAAAAUAAUAGUAUGCUAAAAAUUUCUUUAAUUAAGUGGAACUAUCCAGCAAGUUAUGCUCGAUUACCUACCUCUCUUGAAGAUAUACGGCUUCUAUUAGACCAAUAGUCGGAAGCACAUUUUCAAUGGACACCAUACGAGGAUCCGACAAUUCGGGCAGUAAUUCCGGAUGAGUUCUUAUAAAAUCCAAACGCUUGGCACGCGAAAGUCGCGUUGAUCAGCUAUGCGACUGUGGAGAUGCACCAGUCAGACAGAGUGUUACGGUAAUUUAGAUAUAGACAAACAAUUCCUGUGGCACCUGAGGUGUUUGAUGAUCAACACAAAAUUGACCUACGGUAACUGCAUACGGAUUGGCCGAGAUUCUGGUCCCACUACAUCGAAAUGGGGAAGAUUGGUAUGAGUAUAUACCUACUAUAGAACCGAUCAUCGUUUCGGAGUUAGCGUGCGUACCGGAAUACAUGCCAUGGUUUAGGAUCCAUGGCAAGUUAUAUUUACUGUCGGCAGAAGAAAGGCAGCGGUAAUUGCGUGUCCAAAGGGAACGACGUGGGCCUUUAAAUCCAAGACGAAAGGACGACAACGCAGACCCAUCAACAAGGCCCAGAAAUUCACCUGGCCCAUCAUCAGCGCCCAUAACUUCAUC
Gossypium raimondii (Peruvian cotton) is the source of this 2408-nucleotide long non-coding RNA. RefSeq lists it as uncharacterized. The transcript is spliced from 3 exons. The record is from RefSeq and is a predicted model, not a curated record. Lineage: Eukaryota; Viridiplantae; Streptophyta; Magnoliopsida; Malvales; Malvaceae.